This 492-nucleotide ribosomal RNA is filed under the name uncultured bacterium. Its description in RNAcentral is "partial 16S ribosomal RNA". It matches the Rfam family "Bacterial small subunit ribosomal RNA", at positions 29 to 507 of the family's 1533-position model. The record is from RNAcentral.
AGUGAACGCUGGCGGUAGGCCUAACACAUGCAAGUCGAACGGAAGCACAGUAAGAGCUUGCUCUUACGGGUGGCGAGUGGCGGACGGGUGAGGAAUAUAUCGGAAUCUACUUUUUCGUGGGGGAUAACGUAGGGACACUUACGCUAAUACCGCAUACGACCUACGGGUGAAAGCAGGGGAUCUUAGGACCUUGCGCGAUUGAAUGAGCCGAUGUCGGAUUAGCUAGUUGGCGGGGUAAAGGCCCACCAAGGCGACGAUCCGUAGCUGGUCUGAGAGGAUGAUCAGCCACACUGGAACUGAGACACGGUCCAGACUCCUACGGGAGGCAGCAGUGGGGAAUAUUGGACAAUGGGCGCAAGCCUGAUCCAGCCAUACCGCGUGGGUGAAGAAGGCCUUCGGGUUGUAAAGCCCUUUUGUUGGGAAAGAAAAGCAGCAGGUUAAUACCCCGCUGUUCUGACGGUACCCAAAGAAUAAGCACCGGCUAACUUCGUG